CUGCUGCUGCCAUGGGAGACAAUAUUUUGCAUUUAGUCAGAGAUCACAAGUUGCUUUUUAAAGCCGGUUAGGCCUUUGGGAAAGAGGCACUUAAGUUUGCACAGUCACACUGUGGCAGAACUGGAGAUGGAACUCAGGACUUCUAACUCCCACCCUUUUACUCCUUUCUAGACUACAGCUGUCCCCAAGUAAAGACGACUCCUGCAUGUUCAGCAGGUAGAGAUGGGGAACCAGAGACAGAAGGAUUCCCUCCCUGCUGUAUAUCAGGUAGCAUAAGGAAGAUCAUAUUCCUUAUUUCUUAAUUCACUGUUAUUGAAUGUUUGUAUAGUCCUGACACAAGGACUGCCUAGAGACCCUUGUGAGGCAUGGUGCUUGGCACCCGCCCCAGUGCUUCCAGGCUAAAGGAAUGUCUUCACUGCCAAAAAUGGUGUAUUUUUACUGCAGGGAAACUAACAUGCAUUAGCUAGCCUGCUGUAAAACCCUAGUGGAGUCAACGCACUGUAGUAUUCAGAUAAGGUCAACCACUGAUAGACCUUAUCGGAAUACUAACUCUAUAUAUAAAUAAAUAUAAAAUGUUGAUGUCACUUGGUUAUCUUGUAAUAUUUUGUCUCCUCUAGGAUUUUACAGUAGACUAGCUAACAUGUAAUAUCAUACUGUUAAACAAAGGAAAACAUCUUUUUUGCAGUGGAGAUCUAUACACAGACAGAUUUGUGCUGCAAACAGGGGAGGAGAGCUCAGUGAGUGAGAUUAUUAAUUAGCAGUGGCCACAGGUGAGACCUGCUGCCCUCAUCUGCAAUCCUAGGCUCUCCUGCAGCAGCUCAGGUCACUUCAGAAAGAGUGGCAUAAGCUUCAGUGCAGCAGCAUGGAGGUUCUUCUGGCUGUAGAGGCUCCCAUUGGAAGUGGCUUAGGAAAUCUGCUACAUGAGAACAGAAACACAAUGGGAGCAAGCUUACCAGCCCCCACAAUCCUAGACUGUAGUAUUCCUGUGUUACCCAAUCUCCUCUAUGCUCAGUCUGCCUUAUUCCUCUACCUUACGCAGUUAUCCACUCUGCUGUGUAAAGAUUCGGUGCCCCACCCUAUUUUAAUUGGAACACCAAAAGCUUGUGAUCCCCAGCACAGAUCCUGUCAGAUCUCAGAUUUGGCAAAGCAGCCGCAACUGUUUCACUAUCAUUGUGUUUUAAACCCCCUCCAAAAUACCACAGCCCUCACUCAGCAAAGAGCAAGCUGUACAAAGGGCAAAGAGCCUAUAAACAUGAAAAUGAAUUUAAAGAAAAAUUUGACAACUUACCUUACUAGCAGAUAGUUGACAGCUUUUCUCAGUAUGUGUUGUUUGAUGGAAGGGCUGGGGGAGAGAAUACAUCUGCUGUCUGUGUCCACUCCUCAGCGAAUGUAACUUUUCCCCUUAAGUAACUAUGUAGCUACAUUGUGGCACUGAACUAUGUAUUCAUUCCAAAUAAGAAUGAAACUAAGAGGAUCUUAAUGCAUCCUGGACAGUUUAAGAAUAUACUGUACUUUCUUUAAUGCAUUGUUUGGUAGCUAUGAUUGAUCACUUAAAAAAUUAAACUACUGGACAUUUCACUUCCUUACAAAAGACUUGAUGAGGUACUGGUCAAAGCUAUAAUGGAGAGAGACCAUAAUCAACAGAGCUGUAAGAGUACUACUUAGUCCCCAUUGGCACUACAGGAGGCCUGAGGGUACCGAAUGUAAAAGGAACAGUCAAACAGGAAGUCUGAAAAGUAGGGAGCCUUUUGGCCAUGUCCCUGUCAGGGAUUGUAUUGCUCGGAGACUUAGGACUAACAGUUGCACCAUUUUCCAGCUAAUAGCAUGCUAAGAAUCACUAGGUCUAGUAUUAUUGAUUGAUGUCAACAUUAUCCACUCUGAGGCCACCACUACCUAUCUAUCAGUACUAAAGAGAAACUAAAGCCACCUUUCUUAUACUGAUUUAAAAUCAUGCAGCAAAGAUAUGUGUACCUCCAUGGGUUCAGUAAUUGGGACACAGUCAGGUCAAAUUUGGCCUCAAAUCUGGGUUUUGUAAGUAAACUUUUACCAUACCUAAAACAUUUCCACUUGAACACCAAGGGAGGGGCUUUUUAAACAAUGUUUCCCCUGCAGCCUUUGCUGUUUUAACAGUAUCAUUAGGGGCUAAAGUGUGAGACUCCUGAUGUGAAAUUGACAGCUUGACAAAUCCAUUUCCAGUGUCAAAACAGUAACCCAAGAAGCAAAACCCCGUCAAGUAGUGAAGUUUAAACUUAAAACUUCAGUUUUAAACGAAGACAUUUGUAACAGACAAGGAAACUGUUUAUAAAUGUAUGUAUUUUUAGUCAAUGGGAUUAAAGGUGUCUACAAAGAA
Molecule: long non-coding RNA, 2350 nt
Organism: Caretta caretta (loggerhead turtle)
Lineage: Eukaryota; Metazoa; Chordata; Testudines; Cheloniidae
Source: RefSeq, a predicted model, not a curated record